UACGUAGGGCGCAAGCGUUGUCCGGAAUUAUUGGGCGUAAAGAGCUCGUAGGCGGCUUGUCACGUCGGUUGUGAAAGCCCGGGGCUUAACCCCGGGUCUGCAGUCGAUACGGGCAGGCUAGAGUGUGGUAGGGGAGAUCGGAAUUCCUGGUGUAGCGGUGAAAUGCGCAGAUAUCAGGAGGAACACCGGUGGCGAGGGCGGAUCUCUGGGCCAUUACUGACGCUGAGGAGCGAAAGCGUGGGGAGCGAACAGG
RNAcentral lists this ribosomal RNA (253 nucleotides) under uncultured bacterium. Its description in RNAcentral is "partial 16S ribosomal RNA". It matches the Rfam family "Bacterial small subunit ribosomal RNA", at positions 524 to 776 of the family's 1533-position model. The record is from RNAcentral.